Molecule: non-coding RNA, 181 nt
Filed under: Cetobacterium ceti
Lineage: Bacteria; Fusobacteriati; Fusobacteriota; Fusobacteriia; Fusobacteriales; Fusobacteriaceae
Source: RNAcentral
AAAAUGUUAGACUUAUACAAUAAAUGUACAUAAUAGAAUAUUAUAUGGAAAUGAGGUUAGAUUCCUCUACGGCCCCGCCACUGUAAAUUUGACGAAACUAUUAAUACCACUGGAUAUAUCUGGGAAGGAAUAGGAGUAGGAGGAUAAGAGUCAGGAUACUUAUAAUAUUUGUACUUCGAGG